RNAcentral lists this ribosomal RNA (206 nucleotides) under uncultured bacterium. Its description in RNAcentral is "partial 16S ribosomal RNA". It matches the Rfam family "Bacterial small subunit ribosomal RNA", at positions 568 to 774 of the family's 1533-position model. The record is from RNAcentral.
CACGUAGGCGGCUAGGUCCGUCCGAUGUGAAAGCCCCGGCUCAACCGGGGAAUUGCAUCGGAUACAGCCUGGCUCGAGGACGGUUGGGGUGAGUGGAACUCCUGGUGGAGCGGUGAAAUGCGUAGAUAUCAGGAGGAACACCGGUGGCGAAAGCGGCUCACUGGACCGUUUCUGACGCUGAGGUGCGAAAGCUAGGGGAGCAAACG